UUUUGAGCCAGGUCAUACCAAAAAAGAAAAAGAAAGAACGGAACUCCCCCAACGCCCAACACUCCCCCGCCCCAAAACCCAAAAUCCCCAAAUCCUCAGCCAAAAUCUUCAAACCCUAACCCCCAAUCCCGACCCAACCACCUUUGGCCGGGGUCCUGCCGCAGCGAACUCGACCAUUAUUUUUCAAAAUUUCCAAUCUUCAAUUGCAGGAGAAGAGGAUGAGUGACAGCCUUGCGUAUCCUUCUCACCGUGUUAUUUGGUUCCUUUCUUUUAAAUGCACUACUUUUCCUUUUCUUUCACUUCUAUUGUGUUAACUUUUUUUCCUUUUUGGUAAAGAGGAGGGCUUCUAUGGUAUUAACUUUGUUGCAUUGAAUCACAGUAGAAAGAAUUUCAACUUGAUGUAUUGAAUUAAUAUGAUUUUGCUUCAAGAACUACUAAUUGUCGAUCGGCUUGAAAUUCUUACAUUUGGGAAAGCCUUUAUUAUUUUGUGCAUUGAUCCAACUAGAUUCCGACAUUUCACAUUUUGCAUUAGCGGUCUAAUUUGUGUUUUUCUAGUCUCUAGUUUUUAUUGGAUAUAACUUAUUUCGUUCAUUGUUUGCACAACUUGAUGCUUGAUGAGAAUUCACUAAACUAUUCUUUUAUCUUGCAGUUUGGGGUGCAUCAAGCAUGCAACCAUGCGUUCCAUCUUCAUUGCAUCAUAAUAUGUGUAAAUUCACAGACUUCUCAGUCACAUUGCCCCAUAGCAGGGAGUCGCAAUUCAAAGGAUGAGAGAAAAACUAGAAUCACAUUUGGGAAACUUGUUUGCUUGCUCCCUCUUCAAGUGCAGGGGUUGCCAAUGCAUGCUUGCAAUUGUUUGAUUGUAUAUGGUUUAUAUAUAUCCCUUGUCUCUCUAUUGUGUAUUGGUUGAUGUAAACUGUGAAGUAGCUAAAAGUUUCACUUUUUAAUGAUUUAUUGUAUUCUCUAUAAACCAAUUGUUUGUUUAUUCGGAUUGAUAGGGAUCUCAGUGAUAAUAAAAAUAUUUAUUUACCGGUA
Non-coding RNA from Prunus avium (sweet cherry), 1032 nucleotides. NCBI's taxonomy places the organism in Eukaryota, Viridiplantae, Streptophyta, Magnoliopsida, Rosales, Rosaceae. The record is from RefSeq and is a predicted model, not a curated record.